Molecule: ribosomal RNA, 254 nt
Filed under: uncultured bacterium
Lineage: Bacteria
Description: partial 16S ribosomal RNA
Rfam family: Bacterial small subunit ribosomal RNA
Source: RNAcentral
UACGGAGGGGGCUAGCGUUGUUCGGAAUUACUGGGCGUAAAGCGCACGUAGGCGGCUUUGUAAGUUAGAGGUGAAAGCCUGGAGCUCAACUCCAGAAUUGCCUUUAAGACUGCAUCGCUUGAAUCCAGGAGAGGUGAGUGGAAUUCCGAGUGUAGAAGGUGAAAUUCGUAGAUAUUCGGAAGAACACCAGUGGCGAAGGCGACUCGCUGGACAAGUAUUGACGCUGAGGUGCGAAAGCGUGGGGAGCAAACAGG